AACAUCUGGUCCAGUAACUCUGGUGGUGAAAGGAUCAAUCCUCACCCAUAGCAAAGAGAAAAUGGAAGCAAGGAGAAUGGACCAGACCACAACAAUGGUCGGUGUUCGAUUCUGGCGACCCAUAAGACCUUUGAGGAAUGGAUAAAGAUGGAUGAUCACCCAGAAGGCAAAGAAAAGCUUGCCAAAGAGAGGACCCCAUGACUGAUAACCACUGUUAAUGGCGUAGGAUAUACCGGCAACGACACCCACUAAGUUAAUGAUGAGGAGAGUUGUUGGUGGGAUUAGAAGAGUUGUCCAUUU
RNAcentral lists this unclassified non-coding RNA (300 nucleotides) under Hevea brasiliensis (rubber tree). The record is from RNAcentral. Lineage: Eukaryota; Viridiplantae; Streptophyta; Magnoliopsida; Malpighiales; Euphorbiaceae.